CCGGUUGAUGAGACUAAGGCGAAUGCGACUUGGCCUACUGACUCUUGGCUUGGGGGUGGUGGGAGGACAGGACAACUAGUGAGAUCUGGAAUCUUGGCAGGGGCGCCAGAGGCCUGACUCCCUGCUGUAAGGCCAGAUCAAUAGCACUGCUGGCCUCACCUCUGUCAGCUGCCACCACAGCGCUGGCAGCAUCCUGUAGGGAGGCCCACAGGAGGAGCCAAAGUGUGAGUAGCCAUGUGAGCGCAGACCUCGAAUCUGACA
Small nucleolar RNA from Rattus norvegicus (Norway rat), 261 nucleotides. The record is from Ensembl. NCBI's taxonomy places the organism in Eukaryota, Metazoa, Chordata, Mammalia, Rodentia, Muridae.